RNAcentral lists this ribosomal RNA (918 nucleotides) under unidentified. Its description in RNAcentral is "Inocybe panamica partial large subunit ribosomal RNA". The record is from RNAcentral.
AAGCAUAUCAAUAAGCGGAGGAAAAGAAACUAACAAGGAUUCCCCUAGUAACUGCGAGUGAAGCGGGAAAAGCUCAAAUUUGAAAUCUGGCGGUCUUUGAUCGUCCGAGUUGUAAUCUAGAGAAGUUGUUACCUGUGCGGGACCAUGUACAAGUCUCCUGGAAUGGGGCAUCAUAGAGGGUGAGAAUCCCGUCUUUGACAUGGACUGCCUGCAUGUUGUGGUGCGCUCUCAAAGAGUCGAGUUGUUUGGGAAUGCAGCUCAAAACGGGUGGUAAAUGCCAUCUAAAGCUAAAUAUUGGCGAGAGACCGAUAGCGAACAAGUACCGUGAGGGAAAGAUGAAAAGAACUUUGGAAAGAGAGUUAAACAGUACGUGAAAUUGCUGAAAGGGAAACGCUUGAAGUCAGUCGCAUUGGCCRGAAAUCAGCCUUGCUUUUGCGAGGUGUACUUUCUGUUCGAUGGGUCAGCAUCAAUUUUGAUCACUGGAUAAAGUCUCUGGGAAUGUGGCAUCCUCGGAUGUGUUAUAGCCCUUUGUCACAUGCAGUGGUUGGGAUUGAGGAACUCAGCAUGCCGAAAGGCCAGGUUUCGACCAUGUUCAUGCUUAGGAUGCUGGCGUAAUGGCUUUAAUCGACCCGUCUUGAAACACGGACCAAGGAGUCUAACAUGCCUGCGAGUGUUUGGGUGGAAAACCCAUGCGCGCAAUGAAAGUGAAAGUUGAGAUCCCUCUAGUAGGUGAGCAUCGACGCCCGGACCAGACCUUUUGUGACGGAUCCGCGGUAGAGCAUGCAUGUUGGGACCCGAAAGAUGGUGAACUAUGCCUGAAUAGGGUGAAGCCAGAGGAAACUCUGGUGGAGGCUCGUAGCGAUUCUGACGUGCAAAUCGAUCGUCAAAUUUGGGUAUAGGGGCGAAAGACUAAUCGAA